Hypanus sabinus (Atlantic stingray) is the source of this 1351-nucleotide long non-coding RNA. RefSeq lists it as uncharacterized. The record is from RefSeq and is a predicted model, not a curated record. The transcript is spliced from 3 exons. Lineage: Eukaryota; Metazoa; Chordata; Chondrichthyes; Myliobatiformes; Dasyatidae.
GUCUACAGGCUCCUGUACCUUCUCCCUAACGGAAGGCAUGAGAAGAGGGCCUGUCCUCGAUGGCGAGCAUCCUUAAUGAGGAUGGCAUCUUCCUGAGGCGCCGCCUCUUGAGGAUGUCCUCAAUGAUGGUGAGGGUUAUGCCCGUGAUGGAGCUAGCUGAGCCUACAGUCUGCUACAGUCUCUUUCGACCCUGAACUGAUGUACUGUUCCUUGGAGCUGUUACGUUAAUGCACCCCUUGGCAACAUUCAUUCUCCUAAAUUAGAUGGGUGGAGUAGACAUCAUAUCUAGAGGUGGAUCGGAUGGGGUUAUGUCGAAGACCCUGACUGCGAAGUACACUCAAACUUUGGUUCUUUAUGGUGAGGGGACCCACUCCCGGGGCUCACUGGUCAGCCGUUUCUCGAUAUCCCAAGGACAAGCAUGCCUUCAGGGUUCAGAGGCUUUGUGGCCCAGCGGACGAGCCAGUUCUAUGAUGGUGCCGCUGACUGAAGUGCCACGGGAGAAAACAGAACAUCAGGAGCAGCCGAUCAGUUAUCAGGGACUCUGUACCCGGUGAAUCACAUGCUCUCUCUCUUUCUCUCAUUGAUGGGGAAGAGUUUGUUGCUGAUUUUCAAGGUCAGAGAACUCGGAGAACAGCAAUGCAGCAGACUUUAACACCCGAAACAAUGUACCAUGGAGAGCUUUCUAACUGGUUGCACCACUGUCUGGUAUGGAGGGACCACUGGAAGUAAUCUGAAAAAUCUGCAGAGAGUUGUAAACUUGCCAAAGGCUCUUGCCUCCCCAGCAUCAAAGGCAUCUUCAAAAGGCAAUGACCUUAAAAAUGGCAUCUAUCAAUAGGACCCCACCAUUCAGGAUGUGCCUUCUUCUCAGUGCUACCACCGGGGAGCCCGAAAAUCGACGCUCAAUGUUUUAGGAACAGCUUCUCAUCUUCCACCAUCAGAUUUCUGACCAGUGAACCAAUGAACAUUACCUCACUAUUUUUGCUCGCAUUUUGCACUACUCAUUUGGCUCUAAUACCUAUAUUUCGUAUGGUUAUUUAUAGUAUUGUGGCGAGCAUUCAUUCCAUGAUUACAGAAGAGAAAAGCUCAUUUAUCUCAACUGACAUCUUUAUUGCGAUAGGCACAAAAACAGACCGGGCACUAUGACCCAGGGAGAGAACCCACACACACUUACUGAAGGGGUGGUGAUUAUUACACACCCUGGUUACAGUCAGGGUGAACCUCAAACACACAAGUGAACAACUGCAUAACCCCAGCUAAAAUGUAAUGAUAAAUUAGCAUUCUACCAUAAUCCCACAAAUGCAUUUUAAAAUAAGAAUAAUAAAUAGCGCUGGCCACUAAGAAUUCUGGGACA